UACAGAGGGGGCAAGCGUUGUUCGGAAUUACUGGGCGUAAAGGGCGCGUAGGCGGCCUGUUAAGUCGGACGUGAAAUCCCUCGGCUUAACCGGGGAACUGCGUCCGAUACUGGUUGGCUUGAGUUUGGGAGAGGGAUGCGGAAUUCCAGGUGUAGCGGUGAAAUGCGUAGAUAUCUGGAGGAACACCGGUGGCGAAGGCGGCGUCCUGGACCGGUAUUGACACUGAGGCGCGAAAGCCAGGGGAGCAAACGGG
This 253-nucleotide ribosomal RNA is filed under the name uncultured bacterium. RNAcentral describes it as "partial 16S ribosomal RNA". It matches the Rfam family "Bacterial small subunit ribosomal RNA", at positions 524 to 776 of the family's 1533-position model. The record is from RNAcentral.